This 74-nucleotide transfer RNA is filed under the name Treponema sp. RNAcentral describes it as "tRNA-Val". It matches the Rfam family "tRNA". Rfam says of the family: Transfer RNA (tRNA) molecules are approximately 80 nucleotides in length. Their secondary structure includes four short double-helical elements and three loops (D, anti-codon, and T loops). Lineage: Bacteria; Pseudomonadati; Spirochaetota; Spirochaetia; Treponematales; Treponemataceae. The record is from RNAcentral.
GCGGAGCUAGCUCAGCUGGUUAGAGCAUCACGUUGACAUCGUGGGGGUCGGUGGUUCGAGUCCACUGUUCCGCA